RNAcentral lists this ribosomal RNA (301 nucleotides) under uncultured bacterium. Its description in RNAcentral is "partial 16S ribosomal RNA". It matches the Rfam family "Bacterial small subunit ribosomal RNA", at positions 509 to 808 of the family's 1533-position model. The record is from RNAcentral.
CAGAGCCGCGGUAAUACGAAGGGUGCAAGCGUUAAUCGGAAUUACUGGGCGUAAAGCGUGCGUAGGCGGUGAGUUAAGUCUGCUGUGAAAUCCCCGGGCUCAACCUGGGAAUGGCAGUGGAUACUGGCUCGCUAGAGUGUGUCAGAGGAUGGUGGAAUUCCCGGUGUAGCGGUGAAAUGCGUAGAGAUCGGGAGGAACAUCAGUGGCGAAGGCGGCCAUCUGGGACAACACUGACGCUGAGGCACGAAAGCGUGGGGAGCAAACAGGAUUAGAUACCCCCGUAGUCCCUGUCUCUUAUACA